RNAcentral lists this ribosomal RNA (473 nucleotides) under uncultured Parachlamydia sp. Its description in RNAcentral is "bacterial SSU rRNA". It matches the Rfam family "Bacterial small subunit ribosomal RNA", at positions 910 to 1382 of the family's 1533-position model. The record is from RNAcentral. Lineage: Bacteria; Pseudomonadati; Chlamydiota; Chlamydiia; Parachlamydiales; Parachlamydiaceae.
UUGACGGGACCCGCACAAGCAGUGGAGCAUGUGGUUUAAUUCGAUGCAACGCGAAGAACCUUACCCAGGCUUGACAUGCAGAUGACCGCUCUAGAAAUAGAGUUUUCCUUCGGGACAUUUGCACGGGUGCUGCAUGGCUGUCGUCAGCUCGUGCCGUGAGGUGUUGGGUUAAGUCCCGCAACGAGCGCAACCCUUAUCAUUUAGUUGCCAACAGGUGAAGCUGGGAACUCUAAUGAGACUGCCUGGGUUAACCAGGAGGAAGGUGAGGAUGACGUCAAGUCCGCAUGGCCCUUAUGUCUGGGGCUACACACGUGCUACAAUGGUCGGUACAGAAGGCAGCGAAACCGCGAGGUGAAGCAAAUCCAACAAAGCCGAUCUCAGUUCAGAUUGUAGUCUGCAACUCGACUACAUGAAGACGGAAUUGCUAGUAAUGGCGAGUCAGCAACAUCGCCGUGAAUACGUUCCCGGGUCUU